This 69-nucleotide transfer RNA is filed under the name Sterna dougallii bangsi. RNAcentral's name for it is "tRNA-Ala". It matches the Rfam family "tRNA". From Rfam's summary of the family: Transfer RNA (tRNA) molecules are approximately 80 nucleotides in length. Their secondary structure includes four short double-helical elements and three loops (D, anti-codon, and T loops). The record is from RNAcentral. Lineage: Eukaryota; Metazoa; Chordata; Aves; Charadriiformes; Laridae.
AAGGUUCUAGCUUAAUUAAAGCAUCUGGGUUGCAUUCAGAAGAUGUGGGUUAAUAUCCUACGAAUCUUA